This 1346-nucleotide ribosomal RNA is filed under the name uncultured bacterium. RNAcentral's name for it is "partial 16S ribosomal RNA". It matches the Rfam family "Bacterial small subunit ribosomal RNA", at positions 28 to 1381 of the family's 1533-position model. The record is from RNAcentral.
GACGAACGCUGGCGGCGUGCUUAACACAUGCAAGUCGAACGGAAAGGCCCUGCUUUUGUGGGGUGCUCGAGUGGCGAACGGGUGAGUAACACGUGAGUAACCUGCCCUUGACUUUGGGAUAACUUCUGGAAACUGGGGCUAAUACCGGAUAGGAGCUCCUGCUGCAUGGUGGGGGUUGGAAAGUUUCGGCGGUUGGGGAUGGACUCGCGGCUUAUCAGCUUGUUGGUGGGGUAGUGGCUUACCAAGGCUUUGACGGGUAGCCGGCCUGAGAGGGUGACCGGCCACAUUGGGACUGAGAUACGGCCCAGACUCCUACGGGAGGCAGCAGUGGGGAAUAUUGCACAAUGGGCGGAAGCCUGAUGCAGCAACGCCGCGUGCGGGGUGACGGCCUUCGGGUUGUAAACCGCUUUCGCCUGUGACGAAGCGUGAGUGACGGUAAUGGGUAAAGAAGCACCGGCUAACUACGUGCCAGCAGCCGCGGUGAUACGUAGGGUGCGAGCGUUGUCCGGAUUUAUUGGGCGUAAAGGGCUCGUAGGUGGUUGAUCGCGUCGGAAGUGUAAUCUUGGGGCUUAACCCUGAGCGUGCUUUCGAUACGGGUUGACUUGAGGAAGGUAGGGGAGAAUGGAAUUCCUGGUGGAGCGGUGGAAUGCGCAGAUAUCAGGAGUAACACCAGUGGCGAAGGCGGUUCUCUGGGCCUUUCCUGACGCUGAGGAGCGAAAGCGUGGGGAGCGAACAGGCUUAGAUACCCUGGUAGUCCACGCUGUAAACGGUGGGUACUAGGUGUGGGGUCCAUUCCACGGGUUCCGUGCCGUAGCUAACGCUUUAAGUACCCCGCCUGGGGAGUACGGCCGCAAGGCUAAAACUCAAAGGAAUUGACGGGGCCCCGCACAAGCGGCGGAGCAUGCGGAUUAAUUCGAUGCAACGCGUAGAACCUUACCUGGGUUUGACAUGGAUCGGGAGUGCUCAGAGAUGGGUGUGCCUCUUUUGGGGUCGGUUCACAGGUGGUGCAUGGCUGUCGUCAGCUCGUGUCGUGAGAUGUUGGGUUAAGUCCCGCAACGAGCGCAACCCUUGUUCACUGUUGCCAGCACGUUAUGGUGGGGACUCAGUGGAGACCGCCGGGGUCAACUCGGAGGAAGGUGGGGAUGACGUCAAGUCAUCAUGCCCCUUAUGUCCAGGGCUUCACGCAUGCUACAAUGGCUGGUACAGAGAGUGGCGAGCCUGUGAGGGUGAGCGAAUCUCGGAAAGCCGGUCUCAGUUCGGAUUGGGGUCUGCAACUCGACCUCAUGAAGUCGGAGUCGCUAGUAAUCGCAGAUCAGCAACGCUGCGGUGAAUACGUUCCCGGGGCU